GACGAACGCUGGCGGCGUGCCUAACACAUGCAAGUCGAGCGGAAAGGCCCUGCUUUUGUGGGGUUCUCGAGUGGCGCAUGGGUGUGUAACACGUGAGUAUCCUGCCCUUGACUUUGGGAUAACUUCAGGAAACUGGGGCUAUUACCGGAUAGGAGCUCCUGCUGCAUGGUGGGGGUUGGAAAGUUUCGGCGGUUGGGGCUAGACUCGCGGCUUAUCACCUUGUUGGUGGGGUAGUGGCUUACCAGGGCUUCGACGGAUAGCCGGCCUGAGAGGGGGACCGGGGACAAGAGGCCUAAGGUAGGGCCCAGAAGGCAACGGGAGGCAACAGGCGGAAGUAUGACGCAAUGAGCGGAAGCGUGAUGCAACAGCGCCGCGUGCGGAAAGACGGCCUUCGGGGUAUAAACCGCUUUCGCCUGAGACGAAGCGGGAGUGACGGUAAUGAGUAAAGAAGCACCGGCUAACUACGUG
Molecule: ribosomal RNA, 468 nt
Filed under: uncultured bacterium
Lineage: Bacteria
Description: partial 16S ribosomal RNA
Rfam family: Bacterial small subunit ribosomal RNA
Source: RNAcentral